This is a long non-coding RNA of Acanthopagrus latus (yellowfin seabream), 1508 nucleotides long. RefSeq lists it as uncharacterized. The record is from RefSeq and is a predicted model, not a curated record. NCBI's taxonomy places the organism in Eukaryota, Metazoa, Chordata, Actinopteri, Spariformes, Sparidae. The transcript is spliced from 2 exons.
CUUGUUGGUGUGAUCAGGUUCACUACGGAGUCCCUGAAGGGCCAAACGAGUCGUCUGAUACCACUGAAAAGAUCAGAAACUCCACUUUACACGAGCGUUUAAAGCACAUGGUUGGAUUAGUGGUUUAAAAGUUAUUACACAAUUUACAACGAUGGCUAUUUUGAGGCCUUUGAGGGUCAAGAAAGUUGCAGUUUGUCGUAAAUAACCAAAAAUAAUAGAUGAUUUUGUGUUAAAGCGCUCAGUGAGCUGCUGAUAUUCAGCGCAGCUCUACAAUGUUUAGGUUUUCAUUGAGACCGCUGUUGGCUGUCAAAUGUGGGAAAAAAAAAAAAAAAAAUCACAAAGAAUUAAAAAGAUCUCAGUGUGUAGUGACGAUCCGUCUCAUUACACCUGAACUCAACUGAAAAAACACUCAUAUUUCAUGGCUUGCUGAGUAAUAAUAAUAAUAAUAUUUAAUAGUAUUAAAAUGUUCCUGCUCUCCUCGUGUUUGUGUCCCUGACCUCUCGUGUCAUCAGGAUGCAGCCAUCUUGUGUUAAAGGACAAACAUGCUGCUUUUCCGACCAUCUGACAGCCUGUAAAAAAAAAACAUUCCUCCACUGCCCCCCGGUGGACGACAGGAGGAUUACAACCUUGUGUUGAACAAAAUAAAAACAAUUCAUGAUUGUGGUUGGGAAGCAGACGUCGAGGAUUCAGAACAGGGCUUUAAAUUAAUUUAUUAAAAAAAAAAAAAAAAAAAAAAAAAAAAAAAAAAAGCAUUUCUCCACUGAAGCAGAACAAACAUCAAUUUGUUUUCGUUACUAUUGUUUGGAACGUGUACAAUCAGAAAACAGACUCGCCAGGUCGCCGGAACAGAGUAAAAUAAUCAAGCAAAAGAAGGAGAAGAGGGGAGGAGGGAGGAGGGAGGAGGAGGAGGAGGAGGAGGAGGAGGAGGAGGAGGAGGAGGAGGAGGAGGAGGAGGAGGAGGAGGAAGGUGUAAGAGGAAACAAAAAAAGAAGAAGAAGAGGAAGAAGGGAAAUGAAAAACACAAACAUUUAAUCAAGUGCAGGUGUGGUUUUUGGACAAAGCAGGUCUUUUUUUUUUUCUUUUCUUUUUCCUUUUUUUUUUUUUUCCUCUGUUCAAUUUACAGUUUAACUUCUCUGUUUUGUCGGAUACAUGCAAAGUCAACAUCUGGAACUACACAUGGAGAUUUCAUAUGCUUAAUAUCGGUUAUCUGUGCAAGUAUUAAAAUAUGUAGGUAUAACUAAGCAAAUUUCAUUAUGGAUAUGUCAGAACGAAGGGGGGGGGAGGAGGAAGAGGGGGAGAAGAAAAAGAAAACAAAUAUUAAGAAAAAACAAUUACACCGUUUCACCGAACAGGAGGAGGAAGUCCACGUAGGAAUAAAAAAAAAAACAAAAGUAGUGAGAUUUUUCUAAAUUAGUUACCGAAAUGUCCUCGACCUCAUCAUUGUGUACGCUUCCUUUAAUUAAAUUACUUAUCUAGAUAAUUGAAAAUACAUUAAAAUAAAAAAAAAA